GAUGAACGCUGGCGGCGUGCCUACUACAUGCAAGUCGAGCGAGUGUCCCGUUAGGGGCGCAAGCGGCGGACGGGUGAGGAACACGUGGAUAACCUAACCAUAAGAUGGGGAUAGUCUCUGGAAACGGAGGUUAAUACCGAAUAAUCCCUCUGGUUCGCAUGGACCGGAGUGGGAAAGGCGAGAGUCGCUUUUGGAGGGGUCCGCGGCGCAUUAGCUAGUUGGUGGGGUAAUGGCUUACCAAGGUGACGAUGCGUAGCCGGCCUGAGAGGGUGUACGGCCACACUGGGACUGAGACACGGCCCAGACUCCUACGGGAGGCAGCAGUAGGGAAUCUUCCGCAAUGGGCGCAAGCCUGACGGAGCGACGCCGCGUGAGUGAAGACGGCCCUUGGGUUGUAAAGCUCUGUCCAUCGGGAAGAAGAAAGUGACGGUACCGAUGAAGAAAGCCCCGGCUAACUACGUG
RNAcentral lists this ribosomal RNA (462 nucleotides) under uncultured bacterium. RNAcentral's name for it is "bacterial SSU rRNA". It matches the Rfam family "Bacterial small subunit ribosomal RNA", at positions 28 to 507 of the family's 1533-position model. The record is from RNAcentral.